GAAAUGCGAUAAGUAAUGUGAAUUGCAGAAUUCAGUGAAUCAUCGAAUCUUUGAACGCACAUUGCGCCCGCCAGUAUUCUGGCGGGCAUGCCUGUUCGAGCGUCAUUUCAACCAUCAAGCCCCGGGCUUGGCGUUGGGGAUCGGCGGAAGCCCCCUGCGGGCACAACGCCGUCCCCCAAAUACAGUGGCGGUCCCGCCGCAGCUUCCAUUGCGUAGUAGCUAACACCUCGCAACUGGAGAGCGGCGCGGCCACGCCGUAAAACACCCAACUUCUGAAUGUUGACCUCGAAUCAGGUAGGAAUACCCGCUGAACUUAAGC
Molecule: unclassified non-coding RNA, 319 nt
Filed under: plant metagenome
Description: partial contains 5.8S ribosomal RNA, internal transcribed spacer 2, and large subunit ribosomal RNA
Rfam family: 5.8S ribosomal RNA (bases 1-105)
Source: RNAcentral